AGAGUUUGAUCAUGGCUCAGAACGAACGCUGGCGGCAUGCCUAACACAUGCAAGUCGAACGAACUCUUCGGAGUUAGUGGCGCACGGGUGCGUAACGCGUGGGAAUCUGCCCUUGGGUACGGAAUAACUCAGAGAAAUUUGUGCUAAUACCGUAUAAUGUCUUCGGACCAAAGAUUUAUCGCCCAAGGAUGAGCCCGCGUAAGAUUAGCUAGUUGGUGGGGUAAAAGCCUACCAAGGCGACGAUCUUUAGCUGGUCUGAGAGGAUGAUCAGCCACACUGGGACUGAGACGCGGCCCAGACUCCUACGGGAGGCAGCAGUGGGGAAUAUUGGACAAUGGGCGAAAGCCUGAUCCAGCAAUGCCGCGUGAGUGAUGAAGGCCUUAGGGUUGUAAAGCUCUUUUACCCGGGAUGAUAAUGACAGUACCGGGAGAAUAAGCUCCGGCUAACUCCGUGCCAGCAGCCGCGGUAAUACGGAGGGAGCUAGCGUUGUUCGGAAUUACUGGGCGUAAAGCGCGCGUAGGCGGUUUUUUAAGUCAGAGGUGAAAGCCCAGUGCUCAACACUGGAACUGCCUUUGAAACUGGAAAACUUGAAUCUUGGAGAGGUCAGUGGAAUUCCGAGUGUAGAGGUGAAAUUCGUAGAUAUUCGGAAGAACACCAGUGGCGAAGGCGACUGACUGGACAAGUAUUGACGCUGAGGUGCGAAAGCGUGGGGAGCAAACAGGAUUAGAUACCCCGGUAGUCCAA
RNAcentral lists this ribosomal RNA (744 nucleotides) under uncultured bacterium. RNAcentral's name for it is "bacterial SSU rRNA". It matches the Rfam family "Bacterial small subunit ribosomal RNA", at positions 8 to 798 of the family's 1533-position model. The record is from RNAcentral.